AGCGAACGCUGGCGGCAGGCCUAACACAUGCAAGUCGAACGAACUCUUCGGAGUUAGUGGCGGACGGAUGAGUAACACGUGGGAACGUGCCUUUAGGUUCGGAAUAACUCAGGGAAACUUGUGCUAAUACCGAAUGUGCCCUUCAGGGGAAAGAUUUAUCGCCUUUAGAGCGGCCCGCGUCUGAUUAGCUAGUUGGUGAGGUAAAGGCUCACCAAGGCGACGAUCAGUAGCUGGUCUGAGAGGAUGAUCAGCCACAUUGGGACUGAGACACGGCCCAAACUCCUACGGGAGGCAGCAGUGGGGAAUCUUGCGCAAUGGGCGAAAGCCUGACGCAGCCAUGCCGCGUGAAUGAUGAAGGUCUUAGGAUUGUAAAAUUCUUUCACCGGGGACGAUAAUGACGGUACCCGGAGAAGAAGCCCCGGCUAACUUCGU
This 432-nucleotide ribosomal RNA is filed under the name uncultured bacterium. RNAcentral's name for it is "partial 16S ribosomal RNA". It matches the Rfam family "Bacterial small subunit ribosomal RNA", at positions 29 to 506 of the family's 1533-position model. The record is from RNAcentral.